This 496-nucleotide ribosomal RNA is filed under the name uncultured bacterium. Its description in RNAcentral is "partial 16S ribosomal RNA". It matches the Rfam family "Bacterial small subunit ribosomal RNA", at positions 28 to 507 of the family's 1533-position model. The record is from RNAcentral.
GAUGAACGCUGGCGGCGUGCCUAAUACAUGCAAGUAGAACGCUGAAGGAGGAGCUUGCUCUUUCCGGAUGAGUUGCGAACGGGUGAGUAACGCGUAGGUAACCUGCCUGGUAGCGGGGGAUAACUAUUGGAAACGAUAGCUAAUACCGCAUAACAGUAGAUAUUGCAUGAUAUUUGCUUGAAAGGGGCAAUUGCUCCACUACCAGAUGGACCUGCGUUGUAUUAGCUAGUUGGUGAGGUAACGGCUCACCAAGGCGACGAUACAUAGCCGACCUGAGAGGGUGAUCGGCCACACUGGGACUGAGACACGGCCCAGACUCCUACGGGAGGCAGCAGUAGGGAAUCUUCGGCAAGGGACGGAAGUCUGACCGAGCAACGCCGCGUGAGUGAAGAAGGUUUUCGGAUCGUAAAGCUCUGUUGUAAGAGAAGAACGAGUGUGAGAGUGGAAAGUUCACACUGUGACGGUAUCUUACCAGAAAGGGACGGCUAACUACGUG